UGGGGAAUAUUGCGCAAUGGGCGGAAGCCUGACGCAGCGACGCCGCGUGGGGGAUGAAGGCCUUCGGGUUGUAAACCUCUUUCACCACCGACGAAGCUCUGUGCUUACUUCGGUAAUCUCAGUUUGACGGUAGGUGGGGAAGAAGCGCCGGCUAACUACGUGCCAGCAGCCGCGGUAAUACGUAGGGCGCAAGCGUUGUCCGGAAUUAUUGGGCGUAAAGAGCUCGUAGGCGGUCUGUCGCGUCUGCCGUGAAAACCCGAGGCUUAACCUCGGGCCUGCGGUGGAUACGGGCAGACUAGAGGUAGGUAGGGGAGAAUGGAAUUCCCGGUGUAGCGGUGAAAUGCGCAGAUAUCGGGAGGAACACCGGUGGCGAAGGCGGUUCUCUGGGCCUUACCUGACGCUGAGGAGCGAAAGCGUGGGGAGCGAACAGGAUUAGAUACCCGGGUAGUCC
RNAcentral lists this ribosomal RNA (451 nucleotides) under uncultured bacterium. RNAcentral's name for it is "bacterial SSU rRNA". It matches the Rfam family "Bacterial small subunit ribosomal RNA", at positions 355 to 796 of the family's 1533-position model. The record is from RNAcentral.